UACGUAGGGUGCGAGCGUUGUCCGGAAUUAUUGGGCGUAAAGAGCUCGUAGGCGGUCUGUCGCGUCGAUCGUGAAAACUUGGGGCUUAACCCUGAGCCUGCAGUGGAUACGGGCAGACUAGAGGUAGGUAGGGGAGAAUGGAAUUCCCGGUGUAGCGGUGAAAUGCGCAGAUAUCGGGAGGAACACCGGUGGCGAAGGCGGUUCUCUGGGCCUUACCUGACGCUGAGGAGCGCAAGCGUGGGGAGCGAACAGG
Molecule: ribosomal RNA, 253 nt
Filed under: uncultured bacterium
Lineage: Bacteria
Description: partial 16S ribosomal RNA
Rfam family: Bacterial small subunit ribosomal RNA
Source: RNAcentral